This 243-nucleotide ribosomal RNA is filed under the name uncultured bacterium. Its description in RNAcentral is "partial 16S ribosomal RNA". It matches the Rfam family "Bacterial small subunit ribosomal RNA", at positions 118 to 348 of the family's 1533-position model. The record is from RNAcentral.
UGGGUAACCUGCCUCAAAGAGGGGAAUAGCCUCCCGAAAGGGAGAUUAAUACCGCAUAAUAUGUUUAGGUCGCAUGACUUUAACAUCAAAGGAUUUUUCUUUUAGAAAUUCCACUUUGAGAUGGACCCGCGGCGCAUUAGCUAGUUGGUGAGGUAACGGCUCACCAAGGCAACGAUGCGUAGCCGGCUGAGAGGUNAUCGGCCACAUUGGAACUGAGACACGGUCCAGACUCCGUAGGGACGG